ACAUUGGUGGUUUAGCAGUAGAAUUCUUGCCUUCCAUGCAGGAGACCUGGGUUCGAUUCCUGGCCGAGACA
Molecule: transfer RNA, 71 nt
Filed under: Loxodonta africana (African savanna elephant)
Lineage: Eukaryota; Metazoa; Chordata; Mammalia; Proboscidea; Elephantidae
Rfam family: tRNA
About the family: Transfer RNA (tRNA) molecules are approximately 80 nucleotides in length. Their secondary structure includes four short double-helical elements and three loops (D, anti-codon, and T loops).
Source: Rfam by way of RNAcentral